This 261-nucleotide ribosomal RNA is filed under the name uncultured archaeon. Its description in RNAcentral is "partial 16S ribosomal RNA". It matches the Rfam family "Archaeal small subunit ribosomal RNA", at positions 748 to 1005 of the family's 1478-position model. The record is from RNAcentral.
CAGCCGUAAACUAUGCGCGUUAGGUGUAUUGGUGACCACGAGUUACCGAGGUGCCGAAGGGAAACCGUGAAACGUGCCGCCUGGGAAGUACGGUCGCAAGGCUGAAACUUAAAGGAAUUGGCGGGGGGAGGCACCACAACGGGUGGAGCCUGCGGUUUAAUUGGACUCAACGCCGGACAACUCACCGGGACGACAGCAAUAUGUAGGCCAGGCUGAAGACCUUGCCUGAAUCGCUGAGAGGAGGUGCAUGGCGUAGACGUC